This 312-nucleotide small RNA is filed under the name Pongo abelii (Sumatran orangutan). RNAcentral describes it as "retained intron". Lineage: Eukaryota; Metazoa; Chordata; Mammalia; Primates; Hominidae. The record is from RNAcentral.
UCGGGCCACCUGCCGGACGUGCGUGGGUUCAACAGCUAUGGUAGCCACCGAACCCUGCAGAGACUCAGCAGCGGUUUUGAUGACAUUGACCUGCCCUCAGCAGUCAAGUACCUCAUGGCUUCAGACCCCAACCUGCAGGUGCUGGGAGCGGCCUACAUCCAGCAUAAGUGCUACAGCGAUGCAGCCGCCAAGAAGCAGGUGACCGCCCCGACCACCCACUCACUGCCCCCUGGUGACCUCCCUGGUGGGCCCCACCACCUCCCACUGGCUUCUGCUCACUGACCACCCCUCAUGACCCCCAAGCUGACUGGG